RNAcentral lists this ribosomal RNA (2512 nucleotides) under Sicyonia laevigata. Its description in RNAcentral is "partial 18S ribosomal RNA". It matches the Rfam family "Eukaryotic small subunit ribosomal RNA". Lineage: Eukaryota; Metazoa; Arthropoda; Malacostraca; Decapoda; Sicyoniidae. The record is from RNAcentral.
GGUUGAUCCUGCCAGUAGUCUAUAUGCUUGUCUCAAAGAUUUAAGCCAUGCAUGCCUAAGUACAGCUCCCCUCGCGGGGGCGAAACCACAGACGGCUCAUUAAAUCAGAUGUGACUGGCUGGCCGACGCGCCUCUCCUGUCCCGUGCUUCCGUCCUCGCGGCGGUCGUCACGGCAAGGGGGAAACGGCGUCCGGCGGGGCUCGUCCCCGCCGGCGCCGGCGUCUUUACUUGGAUAUCUGUGGCAAUUCCAGAGCUAAUACAUGCCUUUAGAGUCUUCGCGCCACGGCAGCGGGCGGCCCCAGCCCUAACCGGCUGGGUGUUUCCGCGUCCGGCCGGGUGCGGAGCGCUUUUAUUAGAGCCUAAAACCUUCGGAGUUUACAGGGGGUCCGCCCCCUGGCUCCCCUACAUUUUGGUGUUUGGCGAAUCGGAAUAAAGCCCAUGUCCUCCGCCGAGCGACGCUCGCGCGCGGCCUUCACCGGCCCCGCGCGGCGACGCCGCGGCCCAGCAGGCUUCUGCCCUAUCAUGCUGUGGAUUGUAAGUUAAGCGCUUACAAUGGCUGUUACGGGUAACGGGGAAUCAGGGUUCGAUUCCGGAGAGGGAGCCUGAGAAACGGCUACCACAUCUAAGGAAGGCAGCAGGCGCGCAAAUUACCCACUCCCGGCUCGGGGAGGUAGUGACGAAAAAUACCGUUGCGAGCCCCUCUCGGGGUUUCGCCAUCGGAAUGGGCCCAAUCCUUAAAACCGUGGGCGAGGACCCAGUGGAGGGCAAGUCUGGUGCCAGCAGCCGCGGUAAUUCCAGCUCCACUGGCGUAUACUAAAGCUGUUGCGGUUAAAAAGCUCAUAGUUGGACUUCUGCCCGCGACCGGUGGCGUCUCCGGUAGCCGCGCUCCAAACCUUCGGACCCUCCUCUAUCCCGCUGCCCGUUAGCGCGCCCGGCCUCGCGUCGCGGCGUCGCGCGGUCUCCAGCGGGGAGGAGCGGUACCUGGCCCGAGCGUCGGAGGCACCAAACCAAUGCCGGAUCCGCGCGGCUGUCAGAGAGCCGGCCUCCGCCAGCGAGUUUGAGCAAGGGGUCAGCUGGCGGGCGCUGCAGCGGGUCCGUCCUCGCACGGUCGCGUGCUCCUUCGGCUCUUGCAGCCGUCGUGACCGCGCCGUCGGGGCCACGCCGCGAAAGCAGGCCGGAACGUUUACUGUGAAUAACUCAGAGUGCUCAAAGCAGGCCUCGCGGAUGGGCAUAGCGUCCCCCGCGCCAAAUGGCCUGUAUGCCCGCUCAUGGAAUGAUGGAAGACGACCUACGGUCCAGUCUUUUGUCGGUUUUUGUGGUACCGAGGUAAUGAUUAAUAGGGACUGACGGGGGCAGUCGUACUGCGACGCGAGAGGUGAAAUUCUGAGACCGUCGCAUGACGCCCAAAAGCGAAGGCAGCUGCCAAGGAAGUCUUCGUUAAUCAAGAACGAAAGUUAGAGGCUCGAAGGCGAUCAGAUACCGCCCUAGUUCUAACCCUAAACGAUGCAGACCAGCAAUCCGGCGGCGCCGUUGGCGGCCCGCCUGGCAGCUUUUAUCCCCGGGAAACCAGAGUGUGUGUGUUCCGGGGGGAAGUAUGGUUGCAAAGCUGAAACUUAAAGGAAUUGACGGAAGGGCACCACCAGGAGUGGAGCCUGCGGCUCAAUUUGACUCAACACGGGGAAACUCACCAGGCCCGGACACCGGAAGGAUUGACAGAACGAAGGCUCUUUCUUGAUUCGGUGGGUGGUGGUGCAUGGCCGUUCUUAGUUGGUGGAGUGAUCUGUCUGGUUAAUUCCGGUAACGAACGAGACUCCAGCCUACUAACUAGGCGACGGGCCUCGCCGUCCCUUCCCUCUCGGCCUUCACCGGCCGUUUGGGGGGUGGCGGUAGUGAGCCGCGGUCGUCGGUGCCCCCUCGCGUUCACUCGUUGGGCGCGGGCCGGCGGCCUCUCGCCCCAAGGGGUGUGGGGGUCGUCGGGUCGGAGGAACGGCCGUCUCUUGCGAGGCGUGCUCUCCGUGGGGCGUUGAAAAGCCGAGAUCGGCGUCCGUCAAUCAAAGCAUUUCUUCUUAGAGGGAUAAGCGGCAGCUUGAAGCAGUUAGCCGCGCGAGAACUCGAGCCAUAACAGGUCUGUGAUGCCCUUAGAUGUCCUGGGCCGCACGCGCGCUACAAUGGAGGGCUCAGCGAGCAGCGCCCCCCUCCGAAAGGAGCGGGGAACCUCCGCAAAGCCGACCAGCGCGCCUCGCGGCGCCGUACUUCCCUAAAGGGGAUCGGGGCUUGCAAAUGUUUCCCGUGAACGAGGAAUUCCCAGUAGGCGCAAUUCAUCAGAUUGCACCGACUGAGUCCCUGCCCUUUGUACACACCGCCCGUCGCUACUACCGAUUGGGUGACCUGGCGAGGACCCCGGACUGGACUAUCGGCCCUCUGCGGUCGAGACGUCCGGAAAGGCGCCCGAGCUGGGUCAUUUAGAGGAAGUAAAAGUCGUAACAAGGUUUCCGUAGGUGAACCUGCGGAA